UUCUUUGCAGGGUUACCCUUUCACAGGGC
RNAcentral lists this non-coding RNA (29 nucleotides) under Mus musculus (house mouse). Lineage: Eukaryota; Metazoa; Chordata; Mammalia; Rodentia; Muridae. The record is from RNAcentral.